GCAGCCAGGCUAACUCUGUGCCAGCAGCCGCGGUAAUACAGAGGGUGCAAGCGUUAAUCGGAUUUACUGGGCGUAAAGCGCGCGUAGGCGGCUAAUUAAGUCAAAUGUGAAAUCCCCGAGCUUAACUUGGGAAUUGCAUUCGAUACUGGUUAGCUAGAGUGUGGGAGAGGAUGGUAGAAUUCCAGGUGUAGCGGUGAAAUGCGUAGAGAUCUGGAGGAAUACCGAUGGCGAAGGCAGCCAUCUGGCCUAACACUGACGCUGAGGUGCGAAAGCAUGGGGAGCAAACAGGAUUAGAUACCCUGGUAGUCCAUGCCGUAAACGAUGUCUACUAGCGGUUGGGGCCUUUGAGGCUUUAGUGGCGCAGCUAACGCGAUAAGUAGACCGCCUGGGGAGUACGGUCGCAAGACUAAAACUCAAAUGAAUUGACGGGGGCCCGCACAAGCGGUGGAGCAUGUGGUUUAAUUCGAUGCAACGCGAAGAACCUUACCUGGCCUUGACAUAGUAAGAACUUUCCAGAGAUGGAUUGGUGCCUUCGGGGAACUUACA
RNAcentral lists this ribosomal RNA (546 nucleotides) under uncultured bacterium. RNAcentral's name for it is "bacterial SSU rRNA". It matches the Rfam family "Bacterial small subunit ribosomal RNA", at positions 488 to 1032 of the family's 1533-position model. The record is from RNAcentral.